CCGUUUAAUAAACUUGCAGGUCGUGUUUUAUUAGGUAUAAAGCCACUCUCGCUGCGCGCUCGUGGCUUUAAACCUAAUAAAAGACGACCUGCAAGUUUAUUAAACAG
This is a non-coding RNA of Paramuricea clavata, 107 nucleotides long. NCBI's taxonomy places the organism in Eukaryota, Metazoa, Cnidaria, Anthozoa, Malacalcyonacea, Plexauridae. The record is from the annotation of a GenBank genome assembly.